UAGCUAGUUGGUGGGGUAAGGGCCUACCAAGGCGACGAUCGGUAGCUGGUCUGAGAGGAUGACCAGCCACACUGGAACUGAGACACGGUCCAGACUCCUACGGGAGGCAGCAGUGGGGAAUAUUGGACAAUGGGGGCAACCCUGAUCCAGCAAUGCCGCGUGUGUGAAGAAGGCCUGAGGGUUGUAAAGCACUUUCAGUGGGGAGGAGGGUUGAUAGGUUAAGAGCUAAUUAACUGGACGUUACCCACAGAAGAAGCACCGGCUAACUCCGUGCCAGCAGCCGCGGUAAUACGGAGGGUGCGAGCGUUAAUCGGAAUUACUGGGCGUAAAGGGUGUGUAGGUGGUUGAUUAAGUUAUCUGUGAAAUUCCUGGGCUUAACCUGGGACGGUCAGAUAAUACUGGUUGACUCGAGUAUGGGAGAGGGUAGUGGAAUUUCCGGUGUAGCGGUGAAAUGCGUAGAGAUCGGAAGGAACACCAGUGGCGAAGGCGGCUACCUGGCCUAAUACUGACACUGAGGCACGAAAGCGUGGGGAGCAAACAGGAUUAGAUACCCUGGUAGUCCACGCUGUAAACGAUGUCAACUAGCUGUUGGUUAUAUGAAAAUAAUUAGUGGCGC
RNAcentral lists this ribosomal RNA (616 nucleotides) under uncultured Legionella sp. RNAcentral's name for it is "bacterial SSU rRNA". It matches the Rfam family "Bacterial small subunit ribosomal RNA", at positions 242 to 849 of the family's 1533-position model. The record is from RNAcentral. Lineage: Bacteria; Pseudomonadati; Pseudomonadota; Gammaproteobacteria; Legionellales; Legionellaceae.